Diospyros lotus (date-plum) is the source of this 1861-nucleotide long non-coding RNA. RefSeq lists it as uncharacterized. Lineage: Eukaryota; Viridiplantae; Streptophyta; Magnoliopsida; Ericales; Ebenaceae. The record is from RefSeq and is a predicted model, not a curated record. The transcript is spliced from 3 exons.
CACUUACAUACAACCACUUGGAACAAACAAUGUCAUGCACAUGUAAAAAAUUUAAGUUCGAUGGAAUCCUUUGUUCGCAUGCAUUGCAGUUGUUCUGCCACUUAGAGUUCAAAAGUUUACCUCCUGAAUACUAUUUGAAAAGAUGGACACGGGCAGCUACAUAUGAAGUUAUUUGUGAUCCCAUGGGAGAGAUAAUUCCAAAUGACAACGAUCCAAUGCUAACAGCUCAUUAUAGUGAGUUAUCACAUAUUUCACAAAGAAUUGUGUCCAAGGGUUCAAGGUGUAUUGAUGUUUUUUCAUUAAGCAAAUCACUAUUGGUAGAAGUAGAAGCAAAGAUUGACACCUUUAUAGCCUCCGAUGAAGAUGUGAACAAGAGUAUUCGAAUCGACACACAUCAUAAAUCGGUAUCAAACAUGCAGCAGGAGGCACAAUUAAGAGAGCCAACAAAAAGACGCUUGAAAGGCCAAUCUAGCAAAAGAAUUAAAGGUCCAUUGGAAAGCAAAUCACGAAAGAAUAAUUCACCAAAAGUAAUGGGUCAGUUGCUAACCAAACCUACUUGUAUACUUGCAUUAAUAUAUUCAUUUACACUCAUUUAUGUUUGUGAUAAAGAAAAAUAACACGAUGUCUUUUGAAGAUGGCAUGACAGGUAAUAGGGAUGCAGGCCAUGUCAUGACUGGACGAGCCUUAAACUCUAAUCAUGUUGUAGAGGCAGUAAACAACGAUCUUAUUUUUAUAAAGGAAAUGUUUGUUGUUAAUUCUCUUUUUAAUUACGCUAUUUUUUGUGAAUGAUCAAUAUUUUUCUCUUAUAUUUAUGUAGGGAGUGUUUGGAAUGGCGCAACAAGGAUAUUGUAACAAUAAUAGUUGGCAAUGGAUGCAUCUAAGAGACACACAUCCACAUGCAAGCUUACCACUUCAAGGCAUGUUUCAACCGUGGAAUGUUACAACGUCUCAACAAAAGGAAUUCCUCUCAAAUGAUUUCUUAAUGUCACAGGAGGCUUCUUCAUUACAAAUGUUUGCAUCUCCGACAAUAACUACAAGCCAACAAGUUGUGAGUUCGUCAACAUCAAACAUUAUGAAGUAAUCGACAUUGUAAAAAGCAGUGGUUCACUAAGUAUUUUGAAGUUGCUAGUGUGAACUAAACAACGCAUCCUAAGCUUAAUUGGGCGAGGCCACGGAAAAAGAAACCUUCUUCUGCCAUGCAGCGUAAGUCCGUGCCUAUCCGCAACUUGUUUGUUGUAAAUUUUUCAUACGAAAUCACAGAUGAGGAUCUUAAGGAGUUUUUCAAUUCUGAUAAUGCCAAUGUUGUUUUUGCGAAAAUUAUAUUUCAUGAAAAUCCAAGGUCUGUUGGGUAUGGAUUUGUAUUCUCCAUUUCCAAUGAGGCUGAAGCUACUCUCACUGCUUUUGAAGGAAAGGUAUGUUUUGGAGAAGUUACUCGUGCUUGCCUAAUUUGUUCUAUAAGAUGUCAUUUCCCUAUAUUGUGCUGCUUAUCUUCUUUUAUUUAUUUAUUUGUCGGUUCAAAGCAUAUUAGACUUUAUCUGCUGUGCAAAACUUUAUUCUUGAGCACCUGUUUUAUAACAGUUAUGUAUGGGAAGACCAAUUUGAGUGGCUCCUAGUAGAAAAUUUUUGAGACAAGCAACGAAAAUGAGUACUCAAUUGGCGAAUGCGUCAAAUAAACCAAACCCUGAUGCUGAACAAGCAGAAGCCCUUGAAGCUUGAUGGUGAAUUUUCUUGGACAGUUUAGGUUUUUCAGUGUUUUCUUUUGAGGUUGUAAAAGAUACUAAGAUAUGUGUAACCAGUUAUUUGUUUAAUUAAUGUAUGCCCCCACUCACCCAAAAAUUGGGGUGGGAGGACUCCUUUUACU